UAAAUGGAAUUAAUAGAAAAGAGUAGUAGCUAUAUCAAUUCCAUAAGAUAAGCAUCCAUGGUUGUCUUAAAGGAGAGAGAAAAUAAGGGAUUGUAAAGAAUACAAGCAAUUGAGAUGGAUUUAGAAACACUUUACGAUGCAUGAGAGAGAUACAAGGACUUACUGAGAAGGUGCCCUCACCAUGGGUUACCGCUUUGGCUUCAAGUGCAAACAUUCCACAAUGGACUGAAUCCCUCAACUCGGCAAAUGGUUGACGCGGCUGCUGGCGGAACCAUCAACAAUAAAACACCGGAAGAUGCCUAUGAGUUUAUAGAGGAGAUGUAACUGAAUAACUAUUAGUGGCAAGUUAUGAGGACAAAGCCAAUGAAAACAGCCGGCAUUUAUAAUGUACAUCCAGUAAUGAGGUGUGACGCGAGUGGAGGAGGUGUGCAUACAGAAUAUCAAUCCUUCAAUCCCACAAUCGAAGAGGAACA
Gossypium arboreum is the source of this 473-nucleotide long non-coding RNA. RefSeq lists it as uncharacterized. The transcript is spliced from 3 exons. The record is from RefSeq and is a predicted model, not a curated record. NCBI's taxonomy places the organism in Eukaryota, Viridiplantae, Streptophyta, Magnoliopsida, Malvales, Malvaceae.